GACGAACGCUGGCGGCGUGCCUAAUACAUGCAAGUCGAGCGAAUCUUUGGGAGCUUGCUCCCAAAGAUUAGCGGCGGACGGGUGAGUAACACGUGGGUAACCUGCCUGUAAGACUGGGAUAACUUCGGGAAACCGGAGCUAAUACCGGAUAAUUCACAUCUACUCAUGUAGAUGUGCUGAAAGACGGUUUACGCUGUCACUUAUAGAUGGGCCCGCGGCGCAUUAGCUAGUUGGUGAGGUAACGGCUCACCAAGGCCACGAUGCGUAGCCGACCUGAGAGGGUGAUCGGCCACACUGGGACUGAGACACGGCCCAGACUCCUACGGGAGGCUG
This 333-nucleotide ribosomal RNA is filed under the name uncultured Bacillota bacterium. RNAcentral's name for it is "bacterial SSU rRNA". It matches the Rfam family "Bacterial small subunit ribosomal RNA", at positions 28 to 351 of the family's 1533-position model. Lineage: Bacteria; Bacillati; Bacillota. The record is from RNAcentral.